CGAGUGAAGCGGGAAAAGCUCAAAUUUAAAAUCUGGCAGAUGUUUGUCUGUCCGAGUUGUAACCUAGAGAAGUGUAACCUGUGCUGGACCAUGUACAAGUCUCCUGGAAUGGAGCAUCAUAGAGGGUGAGAAUCCCGUCUUUGACAUGGACUACCAGUGCACUGUGGUUGCACACUCAACGAGUCGAGUUGUUUGGGAAUGCAGCUCUAAAUGGGUGGUAAAUUCCAUCUAAAGCUAAAUAUUGGCGAGAGACCGAUAGCGAACAAGUACCGUGAGGGAAAGAUGAAAAGAACUUUGGAAAGAGAGUUAAACAGUAUGUGAAAUUGUUGAAAGGGAAACGCUUGAAUUCAGCUGCAUUGGCUGGGGAUCAAGCCAGCUUAUUUGCUGGGUGUAUUUCCUGGUUGAUGGGCCAACAUCAGUUUUGACCAUCAGAGAAAGGCUAAGGGAAUGUGGCACCUUUAUAGGUGUGUUAUAGCCCUUUGGUUGUAUGUGGUGGUUGGGACUGAGGACAGCAGCGUGCCGCAAGGCCAGGUUUCGACCAUGUUCACGCUUUGGAUGUUGGCAUAAUGGCUUUAAGCGACCCGUCUUGAAACACGGACCAAGGAGUCUAACAUGCAUGCAAGUGUUUGGGUGGAAAACUCGAGCGCGUAAUGAAAGUGAAAGUUGAGAUCCCUCUCACAGGGGAGCAUCGACGCCCAGACCAGAACUUUUGGGACGGAUCUGCGGUAGAGCAAGCAUGUUGGGACCCGAAAGAUGGUGAACUAUGCCUGAAUAGGGUGAAGCCAGAGGAAACUCUGGUGGAGGCUCGUAGCGAUUCUGACGUGCAAAUCGAUCGUCGAAUUUGGG
RNAcentral lists this ribosomal RNA (846 nucleotides) under Amanita exitialis. RNAcentral describes it as "eukaryotic LSU rRNA". It matches the Rfam family "Eukaryotic large subunit ribosomal RNA", at positions 90 to 915 of the family's 3401-position model. Lineage: Eukaryota; Fungi; Basidiomycota; Agaricomycetes; Agaricales; Amanitaceae. The record is from RNAcentral.